This 496-nucleotide ribosomal RNA is filed under the name uncultured bacterium. RNAcentral describes it as "partial 16S ribosomal RNA". It matches the Rfam family "Bacterial small subunit ribosomal RNA", at positions 28 to 506 of the family's 1533-position model. The record is from RNAcentral.
GAUGAACGCUGGCGGCGUGCCUAAUACAUGCAAGUCGAGCGAACAGACGAGGAGCUUGCUCCUCUGACGUUAGCGGCGGACGGGUGAGUAACACGUGGAUAACCUACCUAUAAGACUGGGAUAACUUCGGGAAACCGGAGCUAAUACCGGAUAAUAUAUUGAACCGCAUGGUUCAAUAGUGAAAGACGGUUUUGCUGUCACUUAUAGAUGGAUCCGCGCCGCAUUAGCUAGUUGGUAAGGUAACGGCUUACCAAGGCAACGAUGCGUAGCCGACCUGAGAGGGUGAUCGGCCACACUGGAACUGAGACACGGUCCAGACUCCUACGGGAGGCAGCAGUAGGGAAUCUUCCGCAAUGGGCGAAAGCCUGACGGAGCAACGCCGCGGGAGUGAUGAAGGUCUUCGGAUCGUAAAACUCUGUUAUUAGGGAAGAACAAAUGUGUAAGUAACUAUGCACGUCUUGACGGUACCUAAGCAGAAAGCCACGGCUAACUACGU